RNAcentral lists this ribosomal RNA (253 nucleotides) under uncultured bacterium. RNAcentral's name for it is "partial 16S ribosomal RNA". It matches the Rfam family "Bacterial small subunit ribosomal RNA", at positions 1247 to 1500 of the family's 1533-position model. The record is from RNAcentral.
AGGCAAGACUGCGAAGUGGAGCAAAUCCCUAAAAGCCAUCUCAGUUCGGAUUGCAGGCUGCAACUCGCCUGCAUGAAGCUGGAAUUGCUAGUAAUCGCGGAUCAGCAAGCCGCGGUGAAUACGUUCCCGGGCUUUGUACACACCGCCCGUCACACCAUGAGAGUCGGGAACACCCGAAGUCCGUAGUCUAACCGCAAGGGGGGCGCGGCCGAAGGUGGGUCCGGUAAUUGGGGUGAAGUCGUAACAAGGUACC